UACGUAGGGGGCAAGCGUUGCUCGGAAUUAUUGGGCGUAAAGGGUAGGUAGGUGGUCUCAUUUGUCUGGGGUGAAAGCCUUGAGCUUAACUCAAGAAGUGCCCCAGAAACGGUGAGACUGGAGUCCUGGAGAGGGUCGUGGAAUUCCCGGUGUAGCGGUGAAAUGCGUAGAGAUCGGGAGGAACACCAGAGGCGAAAGCGGCGACCUGGACAGGCACUGACACUCAACUACGAAAGCGUGGGGAGCAAACAGG
Molecule: ribosomal RNA, 253 nt
Filed under: uncultured bacterium
Lineage: Bacteria
Description: partial 16S ribosomal RNA
Rfam family: Bacterial small subunit ribosomal RNA
Source: RNAcentral